CCUACGGGAGGCAGCAGUGAGGAAUAUUGGUCAAUGGACGAGAGUCUGAACCAGCCAAGUAGCGUGAAGGAUGACUGCCCUAUGGGUUGUAAACUUCUUUUAUAUGGGAAUAAAAUGUUCCACGUGUGGGAUUUUGUAUGUACCAUAUGAAUAAUGAUCGGGUAACUCCGUGCCAGCAGCCGCGGUAAUACGGAGGAUCCGAGCGUUAUCCGGAUUUAUUGGGUUUAAAGGGAGCGUAGGUGGAUUGUUAAGGCAGUUGUGAAAGUUUGCGGCUCAACCGUAAAAUUGCAGUUGAAACUGGCAGUCUUGAGUACAGUAGAGGUGGGCGGAAUUCGUGGUGUAGCGGUGAAAUGCUUAGAUAUCACGAAGAACUCCGAUUGCGAAGGCAGUUCACUGGACUGCAACUGACACUGAGGCUCGAAAGUGUGGGUAUCAAACAGGAUUAGAUACCCUUGUAGUC
RNAcentral lists this ribosomal RNA (460 nucleotides) under uncultured bacterium. RNAcentral describes it as "partial 16S ribosomal RNA". It matches the Rfam family "Bacterial small subunit ribosomal RNA", at positions 338 to 795 of the family's 1533-position model. The record is from RNAcentral.